GGGGUCUUGGUUUUGCUGGACGCUCCUCCUUGUGUUGGUGUGGUCCAAAGGAACCACGAUUUUGAAUUCAGCUACAUUCUUUCUGAUGCCUCACCAACCUUCCCUGAAGUAAAGCUGCUCUUCCCGCAAAUAGGAAUGCAGCAGAAGUGUCAUUGUGUCAGUUCUUGGGAAGGCUGGAAGCCUCACAUUGGUGCUAUUGUAACCCAACUGCUGUGCUGUAAGGAAGACCAAGCCGGCCUGCAGAGAGAGGCUACGUGGGGAGGCCUAGAAGGACAAAACACAAAGUAGGGAAACAGAGGCCUUGUGGGGCAUAGGAGCUGAGGCAUUCCAGCCCCUAGAUGAAGGAUAUCUUUUUAUUGAUGUUCAGAGAGAGAAAAAGAGAGAGAGAGAGAAACAUUGAUCGGUUGGCUUCUAUACAUGCCCUGGCCAAGGAUUGAAACUGCAACCUAGGUUCUGUGACUGGGAAUGAAAGCUGCAAACUUUUGAUGUAUGGGAUGAUGCUCCAACCAACUGAAUCA
Long non-coding RNA from Phyllostomus discolor (pale spear-nosed bat), 518 nucleotides. RefSeq lists it as uncharacterized. The transcript is spliced from 3 exons. The record is from RefSeq and is a predicted model, not a curated record. Lineage: Eukaryota; Metazoa; Chordata; Mammalia; Chiroptera; Phyllostomidae.